This 374-nucleotide ribosomal RNA is filed under the name uncultured organism. RNAcentral describes it as "partial 16S ribosomal RNA". It matches the Rfam family "Bacterial small subunit ribosomal RNA", at positions 527 to 896 of the family's 1533-position model. The record is from RNAcentral.
GUAGGUGGCAAGCGUUGUCCGGAAUUAUUGGGCGUAAAGCGCGCGCAGGUGGUUCUUUAAGUCUGAUGUGAAAGCCCCCCGGGCUCAACCGGGGAGGGUCAUUGGAAACUGGGGAACUUGAGUGCAGGAGAGGAAAGUGGAAUUCCACGUGUAGCGGUGAAAUGCGUAGAUAUGUGGAGGAACACCAGUGGCGAAGGCGACUUUCUGGCCUGUAACUGACACUGAGGCGCGAAAGCGUGGGGAGCAAACAGGAUUAGAUACCCUGGUAGUCCACGCCGUAAACGAUGAGUGCUAAGUGUUGGGGGGUUUCCGCCCCUCAGUGCUGCAGCUAACGCAUUAAGCACUCCGCCUGGGGAGUACGGUCGCAAAGACUG